AACCUUAUGGACCUGCGGGCGUAUACCUGCGGAAGGAUCAUUACCGAGUGUGGUCCCUUUUUUAAAAGGGGCGCCUCCCGUCCUUUGCAGGGCCUUUAGGGGCUUUUUGACUUUGCUUCGGCGGGCUCGCCCCGCCGGAACACCCUCAAGAAAAUCUCGAAAAAAACCUUUGUCUGAGUUGCUUGCGAAUAAAACAAAACUUUUAACAAUGGAUCUCAGAUCGGGAGAGCACACGUCUGA
Molecule: unclassified non-coding RNA, 240 nt
Filed under: soil metagenome
Description: partial contains 5.8S ribosomal RNA, internal transcribed spacer 2, and large subunit ribosomal RNA
Source: RNAcentral